UCAUGCUCAGAGGCCCUGUGGGAUU
This 25-nucleotide non-coding RNA is filed under the name Rattus norvegicus (Norway rat). The record is from RNAcentral. Lineage: Eukaryota; Metazoa; Chordata; Mammalia; Rodentia; Muridae.